GUCUACGGCCAUACCACUCUGGCAACGCCCGAUCUCGUCCGAUCUCGGAAGCUAAGCAGGGUCGGGCCUGGUUAGUACUUGGAUGGGAGACCUCCUGGGAAUACCGGGUGCCGUAGGCU
Non-coding RNA from Colinus virginianus (northern bobwhite), 119 nucleotides. Lineage: Eukaryota; Metazoa; Chordata; Aves; Galliformes; Odontophoridae. The record is from Rfam.